Molecule: long non-coding RNA, 924 nt
Organism: Hippocampus zosterae (dwarf seahorse)
Lineage: Eukaryota; Metazoa; Chordata; Actinopteri; Syngnathiformes; Syngnathidae
Exons: 5
Source: RefSeq, a predicted model, not a curated record
UAUGUGGAGUAUCGCUCUGAGCGAGUGGCCUCACUUUAUGUGUGUGUAACAAAGUCUGUUUAUUACUCGGAGAGAAUUUGAUGUUUUAUUGAAAAAGCAAAAAGCAGAGUUGAAUGAAUAUCGCAAUUGAAUUUCAUUGCAAGCUAAUGAAACGCAGGAAUUUAUAUUCUCCAUAAUGCAAACCAAUGGCACCCAUCAUUAAACAUGAAAUUAUGUCUUAUGCUGUCUCCUCAGAGCACUCGCUAAUCACCAAACAGAAAGUUAAAAGUGCAAGAAAGACCCUGUCAGUCUCCUUCUCACCAACCUUUGCAACGAUCAUGUCCAUCCAUACUUCACUACCACUUCCUGGCGCUUAUAAAUACCGGCACUUGACCUUAUAAUGGACCGCGGUGUCAGUCAAAUUGUGGACAAAGGAGUGGGUGUCUGGAAAGGGUGCUAAGGAGGGGAGAAGGGGACGAUGUGUGGGAGUCCAAAGGGGACGGCUGGCUGGCUGGCUGUUUAUGGAGGGUCGGGUAGCGAGUGCAAGAGUCUAAGCCCGGAUUUCCCUCCCUCCAGCCACUUCAACCAACUCUUCCAUGCACAUGUGUAGUGGAUCUUAGACAUAUUUCAUUCAUGAAUAUGUGAUCAGCUGGCAUCAAACCCUCUGAAUCAUUUAAAUCACACUGUCUCAGCACUGGUGAGGUAUUUGAACUGGCCCACCGGCUGCUCAUGUAUUCCUUUCGGGCUGCCUGUUGCCUACAGGCACCAUGUUGGGACUUCUCUUUUAAAUCAUCCCACGGAGCAGCACAGCUCUGGGAUGCGAGGGCCACUUGAACAAUUUGAGUUAUGACCUACAGCACGUGACCAGAGGAGAGAAGAAAAUAGAUUCACUGGAAAAUCGAGAACUUCACCUUUCCGUUCAGCUCCUUCAUCACCAUGACACAC